This 681-nucleotide ribosomal RNA is filed under the name uncultured nitrite-oxidizing bacterium. RNAcentral describes it as "bacterial SSU rRNA". It matches the Rfam family "Bacterial small subunit ribosomal RNA", at positions 21 to 696 of the family's 1533-position model. The record is from RNAcentral.
GGCUCAGAACGAACGCUGGCGGCGCGCCUAAUACAUGCAAGUCGAGCGAGUAGGUGUAGCAAUACACUUGUAAAGCGGCGAACGGGUGAGGAAUACAUGGGUAACCUACCCUCGAGUGGGGAAUAACUAGCCGAAAGGUUAGCUAAUACCGCGUACGCCUCCCGGACUUCGGUUCGGGAGGGAAAGCGAUACCGUGGGUAUCGCGCUCCUGGAUGGGCUCAUGCCCUAUCAGCUUGUUGGUGAGGUAACGGCUCACCAAGGCUUCGACGGGUAGCUGAUCUGAGAGGAUGAUCAGCCACACUGGCACUGCGACACGGGCCAGACUCCUACGGGAGGCAGCAGUAAGGAAUAUUGCGCAAUGGGCGAAAGCCUGACGCAGCGACGCCGCGUGGGGGAUGAAGGUCUUCGGAUUGUAAACCCCUUUCGGCAGGGAAGAUGGAACGGGCAACCGUUCGGACGGUACCUGCAGAAGCAGCCACGGCUAACUUCGUGCCAGCAGCCGCGGUAAUACGAAGGUGGCAAGCGUUGUUCGGAUUCACUGGGCGUACAGGGAGCGUAGGCGGUUGGGUAAGCCCUCCGUGAAAUCUCCGGGCCUAACCCGGAAAGUGCGGAGGGGACUGCUUAGCUAGAGGAUGGGAGAGGAGCGCGGAAUUCCCGGUGUAGCGGUGAAAUGCGUAGAGA